RNAcentral lists this unclassified non-coding RNA (600 nucleotides) under Hevea brasiliensis (rubber tree). The record is from RNAcentral. Lineage: Eukaryota; Viridiplantae; Streptophyta; Magnoliopsida; Malpighiales; Euphorbiaceae.
GCCUUGGUUGCAUUAUUGAUUCAUCUCGUCAUAUAAGGAAAAAGAAGAAGUUAGAGCAUCUUUUGUCACUGGUGAAGCAAAUCCCCUCUGUAUCGACGCGAGAUGCUUUUCGGCCUGCAAUGAAAGAACUAGUUGCCGAUGGACUUCUACGACAUUCUGACAUGGAUGUGAAGGUGUCAGUUGCAUCUUGCAUCAGUGAGAUCAUGAGAAUUACAGCUCCAGAUCAACCGUAUAAGGAUAGCAUACUUAAGGACUUUUUUGAGCUUGCAGUGUUGGCGUUUAGGAAAUUGUCUUGCUUGAAUGGUCGUUGUUAUUCAAAGGCUGUCUCAAUUAUUAAAGUUCUGGCAAAGUACCGAACAAGCGUGCUCAUGUUGGAUCUCAUGUUAGAUACAUUGAUUGUUCAUAUGUUUCAACAUUUUCUCAAUGGUAUAAGGCCCGAGCACCCUGAUAAAGUAUUCACGGACAUCAAGGAAAUAAUGACCAUGAUAAUAAAAGAGAGUGAAAACAUUCCAAUGCAAUUUCUGAGCAUCCUUGCGAACAUCCUCAUAAAUAGUGUUAAGAAGGAAAAUCAGAAUGUUUCGCCUCGUUCUUAUGUGCUGG